Molecule: ribosomal RNA, 684 nt
Filed under: uncultured ciliate
Lineage: Eukaryota; Ciliophora
Description: SSU rRNA
Rfam family: Eukaryotic small subunit ribosomal RNA
Source: RNAcentral
CUGGAUGGUAGUGUAUUGGACUACCAUGGCGUUUACGGGUAACGGAGGAUUAGGGUUCGAUUCCGGAGAGGGAGCCUGAGAAACGGCUACCACAUCUAAGGAUGGCAGCAGGCGCGUAAAUUACCCAAUCCUGAUUCAGGGAGGUAGUGACAAGAAAUAACGGACCGGGUCGCAAGACUUCGGGAUUGCAAUGAGCCGAAUUUACACCCCUUAGCGAGAAUCGAUUGGAGGGCAAGUCUGGUGCCAGCAGCCGCGGUAAUUCCAGCUCCAAUAGCGUAUAUUAAAGUUGUUGCAGUUAAAAAGCUCGUAGUUGGAUUUCUGGAAGGGUGCUAAUGUCCGCCGUAGUGCGUGUGCAGCCGCGCCCUUCCAUCCUUCUGUUAACGUCUCUUGGCAUUUAUUUGCUGGUGGCGGGCUCAGAUAUUUUACCUUGAGAAAAUUAGAGUGUUUCAGGCAGGCUAGGCCGGAAUAUAUUAGCAUGGAAUAAUGGAAUAGGACUAUGGUCUCUUUGUUGGUUUGAGGGACUGCAGUAAUGAUUAAUAGGGAUAGUUGGGGGCAUUAGUAUUUAAUUGUCAGAGGUGGAAUUCUCAGAUUUGUUAAAGACUAACUUAUGCGAAAGCAUUUGCCAAGGAUGUUUUCAUUAAUCAAGAACGAAAGUUAGGGGAUCAAAGACGAUCAGAUACCGUC